UGGGGAAUUUUGGACAAUGGGCGAAAGCCUGAUCCAGCAAUGCCGCGUGUGUGAAGAAGGCCUUCGGGUUGUAAAGCACUUUUGUCCGGAAAGAAAUCCUUGGCUCUAAUACAGUCGGGGGAUGACGGUACCGGAAGAAUAAGCACCGGCUAACUACGUGCCAGCAGCCGCGGUAAUACGUAGGGUGCAAGCGUUAAUCGGAACUACUGGGCGUAAAGCGUGCGCAGGCGGUUUGCUAAGACCGAUGUGAAAUCCCCGGGCUCAACCUGGGAACUGCAUUGGUGACUGGCAGGCUAGAGUAUGGCAGAGGGGGGUAGAAUUCCACGUGUAGCAGUGAAAUGCGUAGAGAUGUGGAGGAAUACCGAUGGCGAAGGCAGCCCCCUGGGCCAAUACUGACGCUCAUGCACGAAAGCGUGGGGAGCAAACAGGAUUAGAUACCCUGGUAGUCCACGCCCUAAACGAUGUCAACUAGUUGUUGGGGAUUCAUUUCCUUAGUAACGUAGCUAACGCGUGAAGUUGACCGCCUGGGGAGUACGGUCGCAAGAUUAAAACUUAAUGAAUUGACGGGGUCAUAGCUGUUUCCU
RNAcentral lists this ribosomal RNA (584 nucleotides) under uncultured bacterium. RNAcentral's name for it is "partial 16S ribosomal RNA". It matches the Rfam family "Bacterial small subunit ribosomal RNA", at positions 355 to 1375 of the family's 1533-position model. The record is from RNAcentral.